GUCGAGAAUUUUUCACAAUGGGCGCAAGCCUGAUGGAGCGACGCCGCGUGGGGGAUGAAUGGCUUCGGCCCGUAAACCCCUGUCAUUCGCGAUCAAACCUGGCGAGUUAACAGCUGGCCGGGGUGAUAGUAGCGGAAGAGGAAGGGACGGCUAACUCUGUGCCAGCAGCCGCGGUAAUACAGAGGUCCCGAGCGUUGUUCGGAUUCACUGGGCGUAAAGGGUGCGUAGGUGGUGGGGUAAGUCGGAUGUGAAAUCUCGGAGCUCAACUCCGAAAAGGCAUUGGAAACUGCCCUGCUAGAGGGUCGGAGGGGGGACUGGAAUUCUCGGUGUAGCAGUGAAAUGCGUAGAUAUCGAGAGGAACACCAGUGGCGAAGGCGAGUCCCUGGACGACACCUGACACUGAGGCACGAAAGCUAGGGGAGCAAACAGGAUUAGAAACCCUUGUAGUCC
Molecule: ribosomal RNA, 450 nt
Filed under: uncultured bacterium
Lineage: Bacteria
Description: bacterial SSU rRNA
Rfam family: Bacterial small subunit ribosomal RNA
Source: RNAcentral